UUAGCAUGGAAUAAUAGAAUAGGACGCGUGGUUCUAUUUUGUUGGUUUCUAGGACCGCCGUAAUGAUUAAUAGGGACAGUCGGGGGCAUCAGUAUUCGAUUGUCAGAGGUGAAAUUCUUAGAUUUAUCGAAGACUAACUACUGCGAAAGCAUUUGCCAAGGAUGUUUUCAUUAAUCAGGAACGAAAGUUAGGGGAUCGAAGACGAUCAGAUACCGUCGUAGUCUUAACCAUAAACUAUGCCGACUAGGGAUCGGACGAUGUUUUUACUUGACUCGUCCGGCACCUUCCGAUAAAUCAAAGUGCUUGGGCUCCAGGGGGAGUAUGGUCGCAAGGCUGAAACUUAAAGAAAUUGACGGAAGGGCACCACCAGGGGUGGAGCCUGCGGCUUAAUUUGACUCAACACGGGGAAACUCACCAGGUCCAGACACAAUAAGGAUUGACAGAUUGAGAGCUCUUUCUUGAUUUUGUGGGUGGUGGUGCAUGGCCGUUCUUAGUUCGUGGGGUGACCUGUCAACUUGAUUGUGAUAACGAACGAGACCUUAACCUACUAAAUAGUCCGUAUUGCUUUGGCAGUACGCCGACUUCUUAGAGGGACUAUCGGUGUAAGCCGAUGGAAGUUUGAGGCAAUAACAGGUCUGUGAUGCCUUUAGAUGUUCUGGGCCGCACGCGCGCUACACUGACAGAGCCAGCGAGUACUCCCUUAACCGAAAGGUUUGGGUAAUCUUGUUAAACUCUGUCCUCAUGGGAUAGAGCAUUGCAAU
RNAcentral lists this ribosomal RNA (761 nucleotides) under uncultured fungus. RNAcentral describes it as "SSU rRNA". It matches the Rfam family "Eukaryotic small subunit ribosomal RNA", at positions 804 to 1590 of the family's 1831-position model. Lineage: Eukaryota; Fungi. The record is from RNAcentral.